Fundulus heteroclitus (mummichog) is the source of this 620-nucleotide long non-coding RNA. RefSeq lists it as uncharacterized. NCBI's taxonomy places the organism in Eukaryota, Metazoa, Chordata, Actinopteri, Cyprinodontiformes, Fundulidae. The transcript is spliced from 4 exons. The record is from RefSeq and is a predicted model, not a curated record.
AUCCUUCAUCCUAUCCAAGUCCAGGAAGCAUGGACUGUCCUUGGGAUAGAUCUAAUUGGUCCCCUUCCUACCACCGCAAAGGGCAAACGGUUCAUUCUAACUGCCACAGAUCUUUUCACCAAGUGGGUGGUGGCAAAAUCCCUCUACAACAAAAGUGCCACUGAGGUGUCCAAAAAAAUUGUCAAUAUUUUGCUUGACUUUGUACUGCUGGAGAGGAUUAUAACCGACCAGGGGCGGGAAUUUGUAAAUGAGGUCAACCGUGGUGUUUUUGAAGCUUUGGGUGUCAAACACUGUAUUACAUCAGCCUACCAUCCCCAGGCCAAUGGACAGGAUGAGCGCACCAACCGCAAUAUCAAGACUGCACUAGCCAAAUACUGUGGGGAGGAUCAAAACGACUGGGACAUCCAUCUACGGGGAGUAGUAGCAGGCAUCAACACAUCCAAACAGAGAUCUACAAAGUACACACCCUAUUGUGCUCUGUUUGGAAGACACCCCCGCACACCAGGUGUGAUAAACAACACGACACAAGAAAAAGGGGAUGAUGACAAUCGUGUCGUGGUGAUUGAGGAGACAGAAGAAGACCUGGCGGCCAAGGCUGCAGACAUUGCAGAUCUGCAUGC